Molecule: ribosomal RNA, 346 nt
Filed under: uncultured bacterium
Lineage: Bacteria
Description: bacterial SSU rRNA
Rfam family: Bacterial small subunit ribosomal RNA
Source: RNAcentral
GACGAACGCUGGCGGCGUGGAUUAGGCAUGCAAGUCGCGCGACAGACCCUUCGGGUUAUGGAGCGGCGAACGGGUGAGUAACACGUGAGAAAUCUACCUUUACGUUCCGGAUAAUUGGAAGAAUUCCUUGUAAGUACGGGGGGAGGUUCCUGGAUAGGCAUCUAUAGAGGAACAAGCGAGCAAUCGGCGACAAAGAUGAUCUCGCGGCUUAUCAGGUAGUUGGGUGGGGUAACGGCCUACCAAGCCUACGACGAGUAGCUGGUCUGAGAGGAUGGUCAGCCACAUUGGAACUGAGACACUGUCCAGACUCCGUACGGGGAGGCUGCAGGUCGAAGAAUUCGUUGGG